GAAAUGCGAUAAGUAAUGUGAAUUGCAGAAUUCCGUGAAUCAUCGAAUCUUUGAACGCACAUUGCGCCCAUCAGUAUUCUGAUGGGCAUGCCUGUUCGAGCGUCAUUUCAACCCUCAAGCCCCCGGGCUUGGUGUUGGGGAUCGGCCCGCCCCUCGCGGCGCGCCGGCCCUGAAAUCUAGUGGCGGUCUCGCUUGCAGCCUCCUCUGCGUAGUAGCAACACCUCGCACCGGAACGCAGCGCGACCACGCCGUUAAACCCCCCACUUCUGAAGGUUGACCUCGGAUCAGGUAGGAAUACCCGCUGAACUUAAGC
This 313-nucleotide unclassified non-coding RNA is filed under the name plant metagenome. RNAcentral describes it as "partial contains 5.8S ribosomal RNA, internal transcribed spacer 2, and large subunit ribosomal RNA". The stretch from base 1 to 105 matches the Rfam family "5.8S ribosomal RNA", at positions 50 to 154 of the family's 154-position model. The record is from RNAcentral.